Molecule: ribosomal RNA, 301 nt
Filed under: Urytalpa macrocera
Lineage: Eukaryota; Metazoa; Arthropoda; Insecta; Diptera; Keroplatidae
Description: partial large subunit ribosomal RNA
Source: RNAcentral
UUUUUUAAUUGAAAGCUUGUAUGAAUGGUUGAAUGAGAUAUUAGCUGUUUCAUAAAAAUUAUUUUAGAACUUUAUUUUUUAGUUAAAAAGCUAAAAUAUAAUUAGAGGACGAGAAGACCCUAUAAAGUUUUAUAAUAUAAAAAUAAUAAUUUUUUUAGGAAUUUUUAAAUUUUAAUUUUUAUAUUAUUUUAUUGGGGUGAUAAUAAAAUUUAUUAAACUUUUAUUAUUUUUUUACAUUGAUUUAUGAAUAAAUGAUCCAAUAUUAUUGAUUAAAAAAUUAAAUUACUUUAGGGAUAACAGC